RNAcentral lists this ribosomal RNA (1008 nucleotides) under Scolecobasidium sp. RNAcentral's name for it is "partial 28S ribosormal RNA". The stretch from base 367 to 1008 matches the Rfam family "Eukaryotic large subunit ribosomal RNA", at positions 1 to 654 of the family's 3401-position model. The record is from RNAcentral. Lineage: Eukaryota; Fungi; Ascomycota; Dothideomycetes; Venturiales; Sympoventuriaceae.
AGUAUGCGAAUUGCAGAUCAGUGAGUCAUCGAAUCUUUGAACGCACAUUGCGCCUCUCGGUAUUCCGGGAGGCACGCCUGUUCGAGCGCCAUUACAAACUCCAAGCAGUGCUUGAUGUUGGUCGGUGUGUCUUGGGGAAAGUCUUCUUUUCGGAGGAGAGUUUUUUGAGAGACACAGGACUGGAACGCGUUGGCGCCGCCGCCAGACCACGAGCGUAGCAAGACGAGAGUCAAGAAAUCGCCUCGGGUUGGAUCUGACGGACGGUGGCCUGGUUUAUGUAUAUUGUUCAUGGACGGAUUUAUCAAUGAUUUUAUCUAUGGUUUAUCGUUUGAUGUAUCCAGAUGAAUAGCAUACACACGCACAGUUUGGCCUCGGAUCAGGCGGGGAUACCCGCUGAACUUAAGCAUAUCAAUAAGCGGAGGAAAAGAAACCAACCGGGAUUGCCCCAGUAACGGCGAGUGAAGCGGCAACAGCUCAAAUUUGAAAUCUGGAGUCUUUGUUGGCUUCCGAGUUGUAAUUUGCAGAGGGAGCCUCGGAGGGCUGGUCGGUCCAAGUGCCUUGGAACAGGAUACCGCAGAGGGUGAGAGUCCCGUAUCCGGCCGACGCAGUGCUCCGUGUGAGGCCUCUUCGACGAGUCGAGUUGUUUGGGAAUGCAGCUCUAAGUGGGUGGUAAAUUCCAUCUAAAGCUAAAUACUGGCCAGAGACCGAUAGCGAACAAGUAGAGUGAUCGAAAGAUGAAAAGCACUUUGAAAAGAGAGUUAAACAGUACGUGAAAUUGUUGAAAGGGAAGCGCAUGGGGGCAGACUUGGACGCGGGGUUCAGGGUCUCCUUUGUGGAGGCGUGUACUUCCCCGCGGACAGGCCAGCAUCGGUUCUGGGGGCCGGACAAAGGCGACGGGAACGUGGCUCUCUUCGGGGAGUGUUAUAGCCCGACGUGCAAUGCGGCCACCUGGGACCGAGGACCGCGCUUCGGCAAGGAUGCUGGCGUAAGGCCUCAUGCGGCCCGUCU